UACGUAGGGUCCGAGCGUUGUCCGGAAUUACUGGGCGUAAAGCGCACGUAGGCGGCCCAGCAAGUCGGGUGUGAAAGCCCUCGGCUCAACCGAGGAAGUGCAUUCGAAACUACUGGGCUUGAAUACUGGAGAGGAUCGCGGAAUUCCCGGUGUAGAGGUGAAAUUCGUAGAUAUCGGGAGGAACACCAGUGGCGAAGGCGGCGAUCUGGACAGAUAUUGACGCUGAGGUGCGAAAGCGUGGGGAGCAAACAGG
Molecule: ribosomal RNA, 253 nt
Filed under: uncultured bacterium
Lineage: Bacteria
Description: partial 16S ribosomal RNA
Rfam family: Bacterial small subunit ribosomal RNA
Source: RNAcentral